RNAcentral lists this long non-coding RNA (1938 nucleotides) under Piliocolobus tephrosceles (Ugandan red Colobus). RNAcentral describes it as "lncRNA (ENSPTEG00000028632.1)". The record is from RNAcentral. Lineage: Eukaryota; Metazoa; Chordata; Mammalia; Primates; Cercopithecidae.
AUGAAAACCCUUUUAAAGAAAAAACAUAACAAAAUUCUGUUUGCUCGUUUUUUUCCGCAAAAAUUAUGUUAUUUCCAUUACUGUAAACAAAAGAAUGCCAUAUCCGACAUUUGGGAUAAAAAGCAAAUUAUAACAAAAAAAUAUUUGAUUGAGCAUGAAGAUUAUAUUAUAAAUUGUUUAAAAAAUUCAGUUGAAAAUAAAAAUGAGUUAACUUUGGAUAAUAUAACACGAUUACUACAAGGGUGUAGUAAAAACAAAUAUAAAAAUGAUAUUAUAAUAAAUUAUACAAUUAUAUAUAUUAAACAAAAUAUUGAUAAAAUAUCUAUUAUUAGACUAGCUAACUGUAUGAAUUAUUUAAUUAAUAUGAAUGUAAAAAAAAAUAGUAUUUUUAAUUAUGCAGUAAUCAACGCUUUUAUACAAAAAUUAAAAAAUAACCAAGAUAUAGAUCUCUAUGCUAUUUGUUUAAUAGCGAAGUUCUUAAUAUAUAUCAAAAGUAAUAAUCUUCAAUUAAUUUAUUUGUUAUGUAAUAUAACAAAGAGUAAAAUAAACGAAAAAUGUAAUCCGUACGAUUUAUUUAAUUUAUUAAUAUCUUUUAUAAAUAUUCAAAAUGAGGGAAUAUUUUUUGAUGGGGUAACUACUUCAAACUGUCAGAGCGAGGUAUCCACUUGGGAAGACUAUAAACGAACACCCAGUAUGAACAAUCAUAGUGAAAAGUCUUAUCCCCAUUUGUACUGGAACUUGCACAAUUCACGCGAUUACUAUAAAAAGAAAGAUGAAAAUUGUGUUAACAAUUUUAAUAAAAUAAAUAUACAAAACAACAUGCCUAAUAACAUGCCUAAUAACAUGCCUAAUAACAUGCCUAAUAACAUGCCUAACAACAUGCCUAAUAACAUGCCUAAUAACAUGCCUAACAACAUGCCUAAUAACAUUAAAAACAAUAGUGAAAUUGUUGUUAACACUUAUCAACACUCAAAUGAUAACUUCAAACAUGUAGUAGCUAAAUUAAAUGAAAAUAAUAUUUAUAAUCUAUUAUUUUAUUACUUAAAAUGUGAUCAAAUAAAAAACGAGGAAAUUAUUUUAAUUAUUAAUAAUUUAACAAGUAUGAAAAAGUCGUAUUUUACUCACAAAAUGAAUUUAAAUAAACAAGAAAAAAUCUAUUUAUAUGAAACUUAUUUAAAUAAAAUUAAUUAUAAUGUAAAAAUCGAUGCAAAAACUAUAUCUCUCCUUUUUUUUAAUUUAAAAAAAUUAUUUUUUCUAAACGAAAUAACAAACACUUGUUUUUAUAAUAUUUUGCAUAAUGUAUAUAGUGCAUUUGGAUUAGCAGUUAAAUGUACACAACAAAAUUAUAAACAACUUGAAAAAAAACAAAAUCGACACAAUCAUCAGUAUACACAUCAGCAACAAUAUCAACCAAAUCAAUCGACGCAAAAGGAUAAAGUAUUUGUAAAUAAGGACGUGAAUAAUGGAAAUAGUAAAAAUCGUGGAGAUAAUAUCCGUAAUAACAUACGAUUACAUUUUAAUAUGCAAGAAAUUGGGAUGGUAUUACAAUUUUAUGAUUGUUUUAGUAACUUUAAAAAUAUGGAUUUUCCUUUUAAUAAAGUUUCUAACUAUAACGACAAUUUCGAUUCUUCUAUGCUUGACUCUUAUCAAAAACAAAAUACACAGCAUGUCACUAUGGAUAUUGCACAUACAGAUAUUAACUCUCCCUUCAACGAUGAAACUAUAUUAUUGUUUAAAAAAAAAAAUCAUGAAAAUCAGAUAGACCAAUUAAAAAGUCAAAUAAAGCUGAAUUCAACGAAAAACAAUUAUUACUAUAAUUUAUUUGUACCAUAUAUAAGUAUGCUAAAGAAAAGUAUAUUUUAUUUCUCAUUUUAUGAUAGUGAGGAAAAAGAAAAAAUGAGUGUCCUUAAUUUUUUGUACACUUUUAAAAGGGUUUAG